AAGCAUCUCUGACAGACCUAGAGCAGUUAAUGGCAGCUGCUAAGGUUUCCAUGACAGAUGCAAGAAAAAAAAAGGUCUUCGUACUUUCUGUCUGGUUGUGGCAGCCAAGACUGAAUGGGGGAAUACAGGA
Molecule: small nucleolar RNA, 130 nt
Filed under: Dasypus novemcinctus (nine-banded armadillo)
Lineage: Eukaryota; Metazoa; Chordata; Mammalia; Cingulata; Dasypodidae
Description: Small nucleolar RNA SNORA31 (ENSDNOG00000046001.1)
Rfam family: Small nucleolar RNA SNORA31
About the family: ACA31 (SNORA31) belongs to the H/ACA class of snoRNAs which are thought to guide the sites of modification of uridines to pseudouridines. ACA31 is predicted to guide the pseudouridylation of U3713 in 28S rRNA and U218 in 18S rRNA.
Source: RNAcentral